RNAcentral lists this long non-coding RNA (1439 nucleotides) under Gopherus agassizii (Agassiz's desert tortoise). RNAcentral's name for it is "lncRNA (ENSGAGG00000003818.1)". Lineage: Eukaryota; Metazoa; Chordata; Testudines; Testudinidae. The record is from RNAcentral.
GGCUGAUCGGGGGGGGGAGGGGAGGCAGGCCCUGUCUCUCCUCNGACGCCUCCCCAGCCUGAGGACCCUUACCAGGGUCUGCAAGGGGCACCCUCCUGGCACACGAGCUGUCCUGAGGGCAGCAGGACCAUGGCAUCCGCUUAUAACUCGGCACCCCACCCCUCAAGCCGUAACUCCUCCAGGCCUCACCAAUGUCUCUUCGCCCAGCCCUGGUGCAGGCCCUGCGGGACGAUGACCGGGAGCAGGCCGGAGCCCUGGGGCCGCGGAUCCAGCUGGUGACGGAGCAGUGCAGGCAACGCAUCGAGCGCUGGCCCGAGGUGCAGGCUGCCAUCGACGCCUGGUGGGAGCAUAUGGGGCAGUUUGUCCUGCCUGCGGAGCAUUGCCUGGGCUGGAGCACUGGACCCUGGCCCUCAAGACCCUCCUGCAGCAGCAGCAGCACAGCUGGGCCUGAUGGCCCCAUCCUGCCUGGGAGGGGCGCAGAUGUAGGUAGCCAUACCCCUGUUAGGGAAGGAGUGUGGGUGGGACAUGCCUAUAUGAGGUGGAGAUUUGGGGGGCUUAGCCCAGUCCAGUCCAGCUGUCUCCUCUUGUGCAAAGUGGGGAGGGUCAGUGUUAAAGGGGGUGACCAGAUGCUGGUGGUGGGAGCAAGGUGGGGGAGCAGAUGUCAGGUGUGGGGGGAUCCCAGAUGGGUUUUGUGGCAUUCUGUAAUUCACAUUGUUCUGAAUAAACUGACUAAAUUCACAUUCAGGCCCAUGGCAGGGACUGGGACAUGGGGCCUUUCCCCUCUGGGAUGCGCCAGCUCUGAUCUCCCCCAGGGCAGGGACUGGCUGGCUCAGGUGGUCAGGGAAUGGGGCAUGGGACCUUUCCCCUCUGGGCCCCAGCUCUGAUUGGGCCCCAGGGCAGGCACUGGCUGGCUUAGGUGCAUGGGGAAUGGUCCCCUGCUAGGAGGCACCAGCUCUGGCUGCUCCAGGCCGGCUGGGCCUGUGGUUCUGCCUGGACCAUCCCGCCCUCCUUCGUGCCCUGCCCAAGGGGCUAGUAAACACGGCCUUGUCCCAAGCGCCUGAACCCAGGGGUUUAUUCCUGUGCUGAGGUAGCCUCUUAAAUGUUUUAUGAAACAACGCUAGAGUAGAAAUAAGAAGAGCAGCCACCAUCCGGGUAAAGCCCCACCAGAAAAAGCAAAGACAAACUAGGGGAGGGCUAGCUCUGUGGUUUGAGCAUUGGCCUGCUAAACCCAAGGGUGUGAGUUCAGUCCUUGAGGGGNNNUCCGUUUAGGGAACUGGGGUAAAAAUCUUUCUGGGGAUUGGUCCUGCUUUNCCUUCUGGGGAUUGGUCCUGCUUUGAGCAGGGGGUUGGACUAGAUACCUCCUGAGGUCCCUUCCAAGCCUGAGAUUCUAUGACAGAAAACACAUCUAAAGGUUACAAAUAAAAGACUGACUCAGCACA